AGAAUCAACGCUGGCGGCGUGCCUAACACAUGCAAGUCGAACGAGAAAGUGGAGCAAUCCAUGAGUAAAGUGGCGCACGGGUGAGUAACACGUGACUAACCUACCUUUUAGUGGGGGAUAACCUAGGGAAACCUGGGCUAAUACCGCAUAAUACCUACGGGUCAAAGCAGCAAUGCGCUGAAAGAGGGGGUCGCGGUCGAUUAGUUAGUUGGCAGGGUAAUGGCCUACCAAGACUGUGAUCGAUAUCCGGCCUGAGAGGGCGCACGGACACACUGGAACUGAAACACGGUCCAGACUCCUACGGGAGGCAGCAGUGGGGAAUUUUGCGCAAGUGGGGGAAACCCUGACGCAGCAACGCCGCGUGGAGGAUGAAGUCCCUUGGGACGUAAACUCCUUUCGAUCGGGACGAUAUGACGGUACCGGAGAAGAAGCCCGGCUAACUCGCGCCAGCAGCCGC
RNAcentral lists this ribosomal RNA (457 nucleotides) under uncultured bacterium. RNAcentral describes it as "SSU rRNA". It matches the Rfam family "Bacterial small subunit ribosomal RNA", at positions 26 to 518 of the family's 1533-position model. The record is from RNAcentral.